RNAcentral lists this ribosomal RNA (253 nucleotides) under uncultured bacterium. Its description in RNAcentral is "partial 16S ribosomal RNA". It matches the Rfam family "Bacterial small subunit ribosomal RNA", at positions 524 to 776 of the family's 1533-position model. The record is from RNAcentral.
UACGUAGGGGGCAAGCGUUACCCGGAUUCACUGGGCGUAAAGCGGGUGUAGGCGGCUCGGUCAGUCGGGUGUGAAAUUCCACGACUCAACCGUGGAAUUGCGCCCGAAACUGCUGAGCUUGGGGCCGGUAGAGGGAGACGGAACUGCCGGUGUAGGGGUGAAAUCCGUAGAUAUCGGCAGGAACGCCGGUGGGGAAGCCGGUCUCCUGGGCCGCGCCCGACGCUGAGGCCCGAAAGCUAGGGGAGCAAACCGG